RNAcentral lists this transfer RNA (75 nucleotides) under Schistocerca americana (American grasshopper). RNAcentral describes it as "tRNA-Pro". It matches the Rfam family "tRNA". Rfam says of the family: Transfer RNA (tRNA) molecules are approximately 80 nucleotides in length. Their secondary structure includes four short double-helical elements and three loops (D, anti-codon, and T loops). Lineage: Eukaryota; Metazoa; Arthropoda; Insecta; Orthoptera; Acrididae. RNAcentral also lists the same sequence under 1 other name. The record is from RNAcentral.
UGCUUGGGUAGCUCAGUUGGUAGAGCACUUGCCCGCGGAAGGCAAAGGUCCCGAGUUCGAGCCUCGGUCCGGCAC